RNAcentral lists this long non-coding RNA (208 nucleotides) under Nicotiana benthamiana. RNAcentral's name for it is "long non-coding RNA (NBEN_LNC003936)". Lineage: Eukaryota; Viridiplantae; Streptophyta; Magnoliopsida; Solanales; Solanaceae. The record is from RNAcentral.
UAUAGGUUUUGAUGAAUGACAAACAAUGAAGUCAACUGUCAAACAUUGUUAUUAUGUGACAAACAAUCAAGAUUGAAUGCCAAGAAGCAUAUUGAUGAAGGGAUUGCACAGAAAAGCCAAGACGAGCUCAAAAUUUCAAGACCGAAGACCCAAGGCGUAGGUCGUUAGGUAGAACCAAUGUAAGAGCAACGUUUAAGUUAUCUCGUCU